Molecule: unclassified non-coding RNA, 432 nt
Filed under: fungal sp.
Lineage: Eukaryota; Fungi
Description: partial internal transcribed spacer region
Rfam family: Eukaryotic small subunit ribosomal RNA (bases 1-46)
Source: RNAcentral
AAGUCGUAACAAGGUUUCCGUAGGUGAACCUGCGGAAGGAUCAUUAACACGUAUCCACGUAUCCACCCACUGUGCACUUGUUUUCCCCUUCUCCCUGCCGACGACAUGAAUGGGCCCUUUUCUAGGGACAGCGAGAGAAUGAAUGGGAGUCUCCCUUUUUUCUUUUAAUUUGGGUCGACUCGAUCUCGCUUUCCUGACGCGCUCUUCGGAGCGAACCAUUGUAGUCGCCUCGUGUAGGACCCAAUGUCUGCUCGGGACACCACUCACCGUUCAUGAGUGCGCCGAGUGGGCGAUCAACCAUCACACACUAAUCACACCCUUUUUUGCUAGUUGACUUUUUUAUGUUGUCGUUCACGUCGUUAUGAUGUGACUGCACACGUUUCUUAAUUGAACGAAAAUGUACAACUCUUAGCAAUGGAUAUCUUGGUUCUC